This 612-nucleotide ribosomal RNA is filed under the name Picochlorum sp. CHLO1. RNAcentral's name for it is "SSU rRNA". It matches the Rfam family "Bacterial small subunit ribosomal RNA", at positions 99 to 767 of the family's 1533-position model. The record is from RNAcentral. Lineage: Eukaryota; Viridiplantae; Chlorophyta; Trebouxiophyceae.
CGGACGGGUGAGUAACGCGUGAGAAUCUACCCAUAGCUUGUAACGAAAUGUUGCUGUGUCUAUCACAAGAUAUAUAUCGGCUAUGGAUGAGCUUGCGGGGUAUUAGGUUGUUGGUGUGGUAAUGGCGCACCAAGCCUGAGAUGCCUAGCCGGUUUGAGAGAAUGAUCGGCCACACUGGGACUGAGACACGGCCCAGACGCUUACGAGCGGCAGCAGUGGGGAAUCUUGGACAAUGGGCGCAAGCCUGAUCCAGUGAUAUCGCUUUGGGGAUGACGGCGACAUACGUUGUAAACCCUAUGCACUUUAUAUAGACAUUGACCGUGUAACGUGUCCAAGUCCCGGCUAAUUUCGUGCCAGCAGCCGCGGUAAUACGAGAGGGGCAAGCGUUAUUCAAAAUGAUUGGGCGUAAAGCGCACGUAGGUGGUGGUAUGGUGUGGUAUGUAUUCAAACCAUGGGUUUUGUCGAUAGAUACAGACAUCAUAUCACUUGAGGACGUGAAAGGAGCAUGGAAUUUCCCAGGAAGCGGUAGAAUGUGUUGAUCUGGGAAGGAACACCAAACGCGAAGGCAGUGCUCUUGCACGUACCUGACAUUGAGGUGCGAAAGCGUGGGGA